Molecule: long non-coding RNA, 1825 nt
Organism: Pygocentrus nattereri (red-bellied piranha)
Lineage: Eukaryota; Metazoa; Chordata; Actinopteri; Characiformes; Serrasalmidae
Exons: 4
Source: RefSeq, a predicted model, not a curated record
GGUUGAGAGGUGGUCCUGCAGACCUGUAGUUCUGAGCACUUUCUGCAGCAGAUCAGACAAACAGAACAACAUGCUGAGAUGUUUUACUGGGGAGCCCUUACAUGUUUUAAUCAGCUAGUAAUUGUGUGAAUCUAGUGCCUUUCCUGCACUGCAGGGCUGAAAUCAGCUGUUUUUCUUAAAAACGUAGUUUCUGUACAUCAGAGUCUCCAGUUUUCUAGAGCUGAAAGAACAAGAGCAGUUAAAUUCUGCAUGUUGCAGUACUUUUGAUUGGCUGUAAUAAAACUUAAAUCUCAAUCUUUAAACCUACUGUUUGCUUUCUCACAGAGAAGUAACGAGUAGGAAAAUUUAAGGGAACCCAGGCUGUUAAUACUUGCAACAGUGUACAUAUCCAAUACUAUUAAAAUACUAUUAUGCAUAUUACAGUGCUAUUAAAUUAUUAUAUAUAAACAAGAAAGAAAUGUUUAUUAUAAAAGAAUAUGGCAAAUAGGCAAAGUUCCUGUAUGACUAGGCCCUCAUUGUCACACUGUGAUGUCAUGUGGUUGCAUUGAGAUCAGUCCUGUGGUAAAUAAGACAAUCAACAAGUUUGUCUCCUGAGUAAUAUCACGUUCUAGCUAAAGUGGGAAAGAUAUGAUAUAUUGGAGGUAAAUGAGAAUAUUAGCUUCCUGUUCCUCGCUUAGUGGACGAGAGAGAGCAUCCAUUUGAUGUGGAAAACAAUAAUGGCACACAGUUUCCAAGAGUAACACCAAAGAGAGUCAGCCACCAUCCCCGUUAGAACCUGUUCUAUCUACUUGUUCCUCAGCAAGUGAUCAGGUGACUUUUGGUCAUUGACAGGUGUUCCUUAGAUAUGAAAACAGCCAACUUUGAUACGUGUAGCUUUACGAUAUAUAGAAUUAGAAAAUGAAAGGGCAAAAGUAUAUCGUGAGCAAGUUUGGAAGUUCCAGAACGUCAUAUUUUGUCAGUUAUGUUUAAUGUAUGUGAUGACUUCACGGAGUCCCCACAAUGCAGGCUUUGGUUAAAUAUGUGUAAAUGAGAGAGAUGUUGGGAAAAUACUGUUAGCUAGCCUAGUGUCCCCACAAGUCACAUGGUCACAAAAUGUGUUAAGCGUCCUCACAAAGAAUGUUUAGGCCUUAAUGUGUGUAAGCAGUGAGGAAACACUACAUUUGCAUAUCUCAGUGCAUGUUUGAGUUUUGCAAAGUUGUAACAUGUCUUCUGCUUUAUGUUUGGUCCAAUGUAAUAGAAGUGUUAUGUGUAUAUGAAGUCUGUCUUUGAAUUUCUUGGUUAAUUUCUCAAUGUACCAUAUUUGAACAAAUCAGGGAGGACACAGUUUCCAAGAGUAACAUCAAAGAGAGUCAGCCACCAUCCCCGUCAGAACCUGUUCUAUCUACUUGUUCCUCAGCAAGUGAUCAGGUCAGGGAGGACACAGUUUCCAAGAGUAACAUCAAAGAGAGUCAGCCACCAUCCCCGUCAGAACCUGUUCUAUCUACUUGUUCCUCAGCAAGUGAUCAGGGAGGACACAGUUUCCAAGAGUAACAUCAAAGAGAAUCAGCCACCAUCCCCGUCAGAACCUGUUCUAUCUACUUGUUCCUCAGCAAGUGAUCAGAGGACUGGAAAGAACACAAUAUCAGAAAACAGUGCUCAAGAGAACUAUCAGCUGUUGCAAUCAGGACCUGUUCUGUUUGCUUGUUCCUUAGCAAGUGAUCAAGUAAGUCUCUUGUGGUCAUUCCCAAGUGUUUCUUAGAUCUGAAAAUUGCCAACAAGGUUGAAAUUGAAUUUAGCAUCUUUACAGUAUAUGUAGAAUUAGAAAAUCAAAGGGGAAAAGUAUAUC